This 377-nucleotide ribosomal RNA is filed under the name uncultured eukaryote. RNAcentral describes it as "partial 18S ribosomal RNA". It matches the Rfam family "Eukaryotic small subunit ribosomal RNA", at positions 592 to 976 of the family's 1831-position model. The record is from RNAcentral.
CAAUAGCGUAUAUUUAAGUUGCUGCAGUUAAAAAGCUCGUAGUUGGAUUUCGGGUGGGAAUGGCCGGUCCGCCGUUUCGGUGUGCACUUGCUACGCCCACCUUGCUGCCGGGGACGUGCUCUUGAGUUCACGCUCGGGACACGGAGUCGGCGAGGUUACUUUGAGUAAAUUAGAGUGCUCAAAGCAGGCCUACGCUCUGAAUACAUUAGCAUGGAAUAACACGAUAGGACUCUGGCCUAUCUUGUUGGUCUGUAGGACCGGAGUAAUGAUUAAGAGGGACAGUCGGGGGCAUUCGUAUUUCAUUGUCAGAGGUGAAAUUCUUGGAUUUAUGAAAGACGAACUACUGCGAAAGCAUUUACCAAGGAUGUUUUCAUUAA